UUUCUGCAACCACUGCGCGCGCAGCUGCAAGUGACGUAACUGUGACGUCUACUCCAAAUUGGUCUAUAGACGUUCACAAUUAUAAAUGUCGGUCGCCCACAAGGUGGCCACAGAGAUGGAGAGUCCUUCUAAGAUUGAGAGGCGCCAGGCGUGGGCAAGCAGCCGUCGCAAGUUUACCGCAAGAGAUGCAGAACACCGCAGCCCAACAGCAGAACACCAGCCUCAUUUCUCUCUCCAAGAUGAUGUCUUUGUGGAUGGAUGCUCUGCUGGAAAGAUUGAAACCUGGCUUCAAGGUUGUGGGAAUGAAGCCACUCCUGCCAAAAGCAGUCACCUAACAAUAGGUA
This 344-nucleotide long non-coding RNA is filed under the name Sinocyclocheilus anshuiensis. RNAcentral describes it as "lncRNA (ENSSANG00000045914.1)". Lineage: Eukaryota; Metazoa; Chordata; Actinopteri; Cypriniformes; Cyprinidae. The record is from RNAcentral.